ACGGCAAUAUCAAUUUUUUAAAAACUAGUUCUCGUACGAUCAACGGAGUUAAGCAAGACUGUGUCUGGGCAGUACCUAGAUGGGUGACCGCUUAUGAAUAUCAAAUGCUGUCU
Molecule: non-coding RNA, 113 nt
Organism: Acanthosepion pharaonis
Lineage: Eukaryota; Metazoa; Mollusca; Cephalopoda; Sepiida; Sepiidae
Source: the annotation of a GenBank genome assembly